CGGAACGGGUGGGUAACGCGUGAGGAACCUGCCUCAAAGAGGGGGACAACAGUUGGAAACGACUGCUAAUACCGCAUAAGCCCACGGCUCGGCAUCGAGCAGAGGGAAAAGGAGCAAUCCGCUUUGAGAUGGCCUCGCGUCCGAUUAGCUAGUUGGUGAGGUAACGGCCCACCAAGGCGACGAUCGGUAGCCGGACUGAGAGGUUGAACGGCCACACUGGGACUGAGACACGGCCCAG
This 238-nucleotide ribosomal RNA is filed under the name uncultured bacterium. RNAcentral's name for it is "partial 16S ribosomal RNA". It matches the Rfam family "Bacterial small subunit ribosomal RNA", at positions 100 to 334 of the family's 1533-position model. The record is from RNAcentral.